RNAcentral lists this ribosomal RNA (492 nucleotides) under uncultured bacterium. RNAcentral's name for it is "partial 16S ribosomal RNA". It matches the Rfam family "Bacterial small subunit ribosomal RNA", at positions 29 to 507 of the family's 1533-position model. The record is from RNAcentral.
AGUGAACGCUGGCGGUAGGCCUAACACAUGCAAGUCGAACGGCAGCACAGUAAGAGCUUGCUCUUACGGGUGGCGAGUGGCGGACGGGUGAGGAAUACAUCGGAAUCUACUUUUUCGUGGGGGAUAACGUAGGGAAACUUACGCUAAUACCGCAUACGACCUACGGGUGAAAGCAGGGGAUCUUCGGACCUUGCGCGAUUGAAUGAGCUGAUGUCGGAUUAGCUAGUUGGCGGGGUAAAGGCCCACCAAGGCGCCGAUCCGUAGCUGGUCUGAGAGGAUGAUCAGACACACUGGAACUGAGACACGGUCCAGACUCCUAAGGGAGGCAGCAGUAGGGAAUAUUGGACAAUGGGCGGAAGCCUGAUACAGCCAUACCGCGUGGGUGACGAAGGCCUUCGGGUUGGAAAGCCCUUUUGUUGGGAAAGAAAAGCAGCAGAUUAAUACCCCGCUGUUCUGACGGUACCCAAAGAAUAAGCACCGGCUAACUUCGUG